RNAcentral lists this ribosomal RNA (206 nucleotides) under uncultured bacterium. Its description in RNAcentral is "partial 16S ribosomal RNA". It matches the Rfam family "Bacterial small subunit ribosomal RNA", at positions 524 to 730 of the family's 1533-position model. The record is from RNAcentral.
UACGAAGGGUGCAAGCGUUAAUCGGAAUUACUGGGCGUAAAGCGUGCGUAGGCGGUGAUUUAAGUCUGGUGUGAAAUCUCCCGGCUCAACUGGGAGGGUGCGCCGGAUACUGAGGGGCUAGAGUGUGGGAGAGGAAAGUGGAAUUCCUGGUGUAGCGGUGAAAUGCGUAGAUAUCAGGAGGAACACCGGUGGUGUAAACGCUUUCU